AGAGUUUGAUCAUGGCUCAGAACGAACGCUGGCGGCGCGUUUAAGCAUGCAAGUCGAGCGGCAAGGGCCUUCGGGCCCCUAGAGCGGCGGACGGGUGAGUAACACGUGGACAAUCUGCCCCCCGGCCCGGGAUAGCCCAGGGAAACCUGGAUUAAUACCGGAUGAGACGGGACCCGCGAUGGCGGGAUCCGGGAAAGGCGCUGCGGCGCCGCCGGGGGAUGAGUCUGCGUCCCAUUAGCUAGACGGCGGGGUAACGGCCCACCGUGGCGACGAUGGGUAGCCGGCCUGAGAGGGUGGACGGCCACAUUGGAACUGAGACACGGUCCAGACUCCUACGGGAGGCAGCAGCUAAGAAUCUUCCGCAAUGGGCGAAAGCCUGACGGAAGCGACGCCGCGUGAACGAAGAAGGCCGUGAGGUUGUAAAGUUCUUUUCGGGAGGGGAACAACCGUGGCAGGGAAUGGCCGCGGGAUGACGUGAAUCCCGGAAUAAGCCCCGGCUAACUACGUGCCAGCCGCGGC
Molecule: ribosomal RNA, 519 nt
Filed under: uncultured bacterium
Lineage: Bacteria
Description: bacterial SSU rRNA
Rfam family: Bacterial small subunit ribosomal RNA
Source: RNAcentral